RNAcentral lists this ribosomal RNA (399 nucleotides) under Salmonella enterica. Its description in RNAcentral is "partial 23S ribosomal RNA". It matches the Rfam family "Bacterial large subunit ribosomal RNA", at positions 2449 to 2842 of the family's 2925-position model. Lineage: Bacteria; Pseudomonadati; Pseudomonadota; Gammaproteobacteria; Enterobacterales; Enterobacteriaceae. RNAcentral also lists the same sequence under 1 other name. The record is from RNAcentral.
UCAACGGAUAAAAGGUACUCCGGGGAUAACAGGCUGAUACCGCCCAAGAGUUCAUAUCGACGGCGGUGUUUGGCACCUCGAUGUCGGCUCAUCACAUCCUGGGGCUGAAGUAGGUCCCAAGGGUAUGGCUGUUCGCCAUUUAAAGUGGUACGCGAGCUGGGUUUAGAACGUCGUGAGACAGUUCGGUCCCUAUCUGCCGUGGGCGCUGGAGAACUGAGGGGGGCUGCUCCUAGUACGAGAGGACCGGAGUGGACGCAUCACUGGUGUUCGGGUUGUCAUGCCAAUGGCACUGCCCGGUAGCUAAAUGCGGAAGAGAUAAGUGCUGAAAGCAUCUAAGCACGAAACUUGCCCCGAGAUGAGUUCUCCCUGAGACUUAGAGUCUCCUGAAGGAACGUUGAA